Molecule: ribosomal RNA, 431 nt
Filed under: uncultured bacterium
Lineage: Bacteria
Description: partial 16S ribosomal RNA
Rfam family: Bacterial small subunit ribosomal RNA
Source: RNAcentral
CCUACGGGAGGCAGCAGUAGGGAAUUUUCCACAAUGGGCGAAAGCCUGAUGGAGCAACGCCGCGUGCAGGAUGAAGGCCUUCGGGUCGUAAACUGCUUUUAUAUGUGAAGCGGUAGCAUAUGAAUAAGGGUCGGCUAACUCCGUGCCAGCAGCCGCGGUCAUACGGAGGACCCAAGCGUUAUCCGGAAUUACUGGGCGUAAAGAGUGCGUAGGUGGCAGAGUAAGCAAACAGUGAAAUCGUGUGGCUCAACCAUACACACAUUGUUUGAACUGCUCAGCUAGAAGACGAGAGAGGUAGAUGGAAUUCCCUGUGUAGGAGUGAAAUCCGUAGAUAUAGGGAGGAACACCGAUGGCGUAGGCAGUCUACUGCCGUUCUUGACACUAAGGCACGAAAGCGUGGGGAGCAAACGGGAUUAGAUACCCUAGUAGUC